This 379-nucleotide unclassified non-coding RNA is filed under the name uncultured bacterium. Its description in RNAcentral is "contains 16S-23S intergenic spacer region". The record is from RNAcentral.
UCCGGUUUGUCACCGGCAGUCACCUUAGAGUGCCCAACUGAAUGCUGGCAACUAAGAUCAAGGGUUGCGCUCGUUGCGGGACUUAACCCAACAUUUCACAACACGAGCUGACGACAGCCAUGCAGCACCUCUCACUACAUUCCCUUGCGGGCACCCCGUCCAUUACAACGGGUUCGUAGGAGUUCAAGCCUAGGUAAGGUUCUGCGCGUUGCUUCGAAUUAAACCACAUGCUCCACCGCUUGUGCGGGCCCCCGUCAAUUCCUUUGAGUUUCAGCCUUGCGGCCGUACUCCCCAGGCGGGGUGCUUAACGCGUUAGCUGCGACGCUGAAAGGGUCGCUCCCCCCAGCAUCUAGCACCCAUCGUUUACGGCGUGGACUAC